CCCCUCCCCCCGCCUCCUCCUCCUCCUCCUCCUCCUUCUCGUCGGUCAGAGCUCGACCCUCCUCUCGCGCUGGGGCGCUGGUCUGUCCUCUCUCGAUGCCGCGAGAGACCAGGGGAUACGGAGCAGCCCGAGAAGAGCACUAGUAACAACCAUCACAGCCCCCUCCUCGCUCGACGCCCUCCCACUCCCCCGCCCCGCGCCGCCACCGACCAACCCCACCUCUCAUUUCUUUGAACGGCGUCGGCUGCAGCCGCUGCACCAGCCCCGUCUGGCCGCUGCGUAAAGGAGCCACCGCCGCCCGCGGCCCCCUCCCUCCCUCCCCGGGCGCGGGAGCAGCUCGGUGUCGAGCCAGCCGGCGGGCUGAGAAGAGGACGCGAGCUCGCCCCUCCGCUCCCGCGCACGUCCCGCCGCCCGCCGGAGCAGCCCGGGCGCCGGCGCCCUUCCUCUCCGAGGACGUGUGCCGAGCCGAGCGCCUGCCCCGAGGGAGGAAAAUGCUCGGGCUCCAUGGCUGCCAGUGAUGGAGCGGUCCCUGGGCUCCCGCUGCUGCCGCCACCGCCGCCGCCGCCGCACCCCGGCCGCGCUCCGCGAGGACCCGGCGUCUCUGUGCGCCCGCCCGCGCCUCGUUGCUGGGCUCACCGUACCGGGCGCCCCGCCGCCGCCGCCCCGCUCGCAGCCGCGCCGCCCGGGCCCCAGCCGCGGCCAGCCUUUCCUCCCGGAGCAGCCGUCGCGAGCCCAGGGGGUUUGAGAGGGGCCGCGGGCCGCGGGGGGAGGCCCGAGCGGGGCCGGCCGCGCCGGCAGGGGAGGUUGGAGCGACGCUGAGCUCAGGGCUCGCCGGCGGCCGCGGCGCCGGGGGUGGCGAGGGCCGGGCGACCGCUCGCUCCGCGCUGCCUCGGUGCAGGGCGAGCGGAGGGGCUUUGCAGCGGCCGCCGCCGCGGGAGGAGGGGGUUGAGCUGGCUCCGGAGUUGGCCAAAGAAGGUGGGCAUUUCUCGCUUCUCCUCGCCUCCCCCGCCCCCUCCUGGGCUCCCCUCCCUCCCGCCCCGCACCCCACGUGAAGCGGAAUAUAAAGGGGGGUGUGUGUGACUGGAGGGGAAAGUGAAUGGCGAAGGACUGAAGGGGUCCCCCUUCGGUUCUCCAGCCACCUGGUUCACCCAGUUCAUCCUCCCUUCCCGAAGCUAGCCCUCGAAGGCACGAGCAGCCGGCGCCUUCGGCAGAGGAGGAGGAGGAGGAGGAGGAGGAGGGAUAGCGUCGGGCGGAGCUUCAGGUCCUGUUCGCCUCUCCGGCUUCUCCAUACAAAGAUUACGGUGCAGAAGGAAAUUGCACUUGCCUCCUCCGCCCCCCGGUACCCAGCACAAUGCACCAGCCGCCGGAGUCCACCGCCGCGGCGGCCGCUGCUGCGGACAUUAGUGCUAGGAAGAUGGCGCACCCGGCAAUGUUCCCUCGAAGGGGCAGCGGUGGUAGCAGCGCCUCUGCUCUCAAUGCAGCAGGUACCGGCGUCAGUGGUGCUGCUCCAUCUUCUGAAGAUUUUCCUCCUCCUUCGCUGCUCCAGCCGCCGCCUCCUGCUGCAUCUUCCACGCAGGGACCACAGCCUCCGCCUCCACAAAGCCUGAACCUCCUCUCGCAGGCUCAGCUGCAGGGACAGCCUCUUGUGCCAGGCGGAACUCAGAUGAAAAAGAAAAGUGGCUUCCAGAUAACCAGCGUUACUCCGGCUCAGAUCUCUGCCAGCAUCAGCUCUAACAACAGCAUAGCAGAGGACACCGAGAGCUACGACGAUCUGGAUGAGUCGCACACGGAAGAUCUCUCUUCUUCCGAGAUCCUUGAUGUCUCCCUUUCCAGGGCUACUGACUUAGGUGAGCCUGAACGCAGUUCCUCAGAGGAGACUCUGAAUAACUUCCAGGAAGCUGAGACACCUGGGGCAGUCUCUCCUAACCAGCCCCACCUUCCUCAGCCUCAUUUGCCUCACCUUCCACAACAGAAUGUUGUGAUCAAUGGGAGUGCUCAUCCACACCACCUCCAUCACCACCAUCACAUUCAUCACGGGCACCACCUUCACCAUGGACACCACCAUUCAUCACAUGCUGCUGUGGCGGGUACAGCCAUUCCUGGAGGGCCACCCUCCAGCCCAGUGUCCAGGAAACUCUCUACAACUGGAAGUUCUGAAGGCGGCACGCCAGUCGCGCCUCCUUGUGCUGCUGUACCGUCGAGUGGCUUACCUGCAUCAGUGAUGACGAACAUCCGUACUCCAGGCAGCCUAGGUAUAAAUUCAGUGACUGGCACGAACGCAGUGAAUAAUGUUAACGUUGCUACCUCGGGUAGUUUCAGUCCCAGCGUGACGAACAGCGUGCAUGGUAAUGCUAAUAUGAGUACAAGCAGUAUCCCUAAUGCUGCUAGCUUAAGUGGCGGGCCUGGAGUGACCACUGGUGUUAAUGUGAAUGUCUUGAGUGGCAUGGGCAAUGGUACCGUUUCUUCCUCUCCUGUUGCUAACAGUGUCCUUAAUGCAGCUGCAGGUAUCACUGUGGGAGUGGUUUCCAGUCAGCAGCCGCAGCAACCACAGCAGCAGCAGCAGCAGCAGCAGCAACCAACAGUUAACACAUCAAGGUUCAGAGUCGUGAAGUUAGACUCUACUUCUGAACCCUUUAAAAAGGGUAGAUGGACUUGCACUGAAUUCUAUGAGAAAGAAAACGCUGCGCCGGCUACAGAAGGCGUGGCCAUCAACAAAGUGGUAGAGACUGUGAAGCAAACCCCCGCGGAAGUGUCGUCCUCGGAGAGGGAGAGCACAAGUGGGAGCUCCGUGAGCAGUAGUGUGAGCACACUGAGUCACUACACGGAGAGUGUGGGAAGUGGAGAGAUGGGAGCCCCUGCUGUGGUGGUGCAGCAACAGCAGCAGCAGCAGCAACAGCAACCACAGCCGCCACUACCAACUGCACCUCCAGGUCUUCAAGGUGUGGCCCUCCAGCAGCCGGAGUUCAGUAGCCCUGCUCCACAGAGUAUUGCGGCAGUUAGUAUACCACAGAGUAUUUCUCAGUCACAGAUGUCACAAGUACCAUUACAGCCUCAAGAAUUGAGCUUUCAGCCGAAGCAGGGUCUCCAGCCUGUCCCGCUGCCAGCCACGAUGAGCGCAGCAACCGGUAUCCAGCCUUCGCCUGUCAGCGUGGUCGGUGUCACGGCUGUGGGUCAGCAGCCUUCCCUUUCCAGUCUGGCUCAGCCCCAGCUGCCAUAUCCUCAGACAGCUCCUCCCGUACAAGCUCCUCUUCCAGGGGCCCCACCCCAUCAGUUACCGUAUGGGCAGCAGCAACCAAUGGUUCCUAUGCAGAUAGCCCCAGGCCAUGGCCAGCCCGUGACUCAAAAUCCUACUUCAGAGUACUUACAACAGCAGCAGCAGCAGCAGCCGCCGCCAAUAUUUCAAGCAGCAAUGUCCUCUGGACAGGCCAGUUCUGCAGGCACGGGGGCAGGACCAUCAGUGAUUCCUGUGGCUCAGCCACAAGGGAUCCAGCUGCCAGUGCAGCCCACAGCAGUACAAGCACAACCUGCAGGGACGUCCGGGCAGCCCAUUGGCCAGGCUCAAACAGCAGUGUCCACUGUACCAACUGGCGGUCAGAUUGCAAAUAUCGGUCAACAGGCGAACAUCGCCACUGCAGUACAGCAGCCUUCUCCCCAAGUUACACCUUCGGUUACUCAGCAAGGUGCUCCUCCAUCUUCACAAGUAGUCCUACCUGCUCCGACCGGGAUAAUUCAUCAGGGAGUCCAAACCAGUGCUUCAAGCCUUCCUCAACAGUUGGUCAUUACACCCCAGAGUACCUUGGUAACUGUGCCUCCUCAGCCACAGGGAGUAGAAGCUGUGGCUCAAGGGGUUGUUCCCCAGCAGUUACCCACAGGUAGUCCUCUGCCCUCUGCUAGCACUAUUUCUGUUACAAAUCAGGUUAGUUCAGCUGGUCCUCCUGGAAUGCCUUCUGUCCCAACAAACUUAGUUCCACCACAGAAUAUAGCACAACCCCCAGCCACCCAAAAUGGCAGUUUGGUUCAAAGUGUUAGUCAGUCUCCCCUGAUAGCCACUAACAUAAAUUUGCCUUUGGCACAACAGAUACCACUAAGUUCUACUCAGUUCUCUACACAAUCCUUAGCUCAGGCCAUUGGAAGCCAAAUGGAAGAUGCCAGGCGCGCAGCGGAGGCCUCCUUAGGCGGCUUACCUCAGACUAUCAGUGGUGACAGUGGGGGAAUGUCAGCUGUCUCAGAUGGGAGUAGCAGCAGCCUAGCAGCCUCUGCUUCUCUCUUCCCGUUGAAGGUGCUACCGCUGACAACACCCCUGGUGGAUGGCGAGGACGAGAGCUUUGGUAUGUUUCCACACUGGCUGCCAGGGCCAGGAGGAAGUGAAGGCAGUAGGCACUGCCUCCUUAAUGCUGAGAUAUAACCUUUGUUGGUUGUGUGGUAGAGAACAGGACAGCACAACCCUCGGUCCACUAACAGCUCUAUUCCAGUGCUUCUCUCCUACCAGAGGUGCAAGGAGUGACCCUAGAGCCACAGACACAGCCACGACCACGGAGAGCUUUUGACGUCAGGGCUCCACUUUCUCCACUGAAUCCUUGGAGACAGAAUACCCAGCUUCUGGAGAGAGUGGGAAAGGAUAAUAAACAAGUAUCUUGAUAAUGGGAGACCGGUUUAUUUGUUCUCUAAUUGCCCAGAUUUCUUUCAACUGGUAAAACAUCAUACCUCUUCAGCAAAAGGAAGUCCUCUAGCAGAGCCUCAUGGAUGAUGUCUGUCCCACGUGGCAGCCCCGCAGUGUGGAAGGCAGUGUGAACGGAUCCAUGCACUAUGUCUAGAAGACACAAGGAUGAGCCAGCCAGCUGAUCUUGUUACUUACAAACUUCUAAGAAUUACUUGGGUUGAUUUUUGGUCUGAAAAUGGAAAGGCUCAAAUAAUGAAGUAAUCUUUUCAUAUUGGAGUUUUACAUGGCCAUGAAAAUAUUUCUUAUUCUGAAGACUGAGAUAGAGGAAGCUUGAGAGUCGCCUUUCAAAGCAGCUCUGUAUCUGUCUCACUUCAGAGAUCUGUGGGACUGGAAAUCAUUUUAAUCAUGUAGGCAACCCCCACUUUACAAAGUAGCCUUCAAAAGCAUUACAGCCAGACUGAGGAGGCCUUGCAGCACCCCGUGCUCUGUCACCCAGUGCUAAAGCACUAAAUGAAGGGGGAGCCUAGGUCUGGAAGAGUUAGGACGGACUCCUGGCCCAUCUCUUGCUGGUUCUGAGCCUGAUUCUUACUGUAAUUCAUGAAAUGAUGACAGCUGUAGAGCUAUCCUGGAGACCCAGUGCGGGCCAGUCUGUUCAUAAGCAAUAAAUGCCUGUCAGGGUUUACUCUGCACGGAAGGCCUUCUGCCCCUCAAGUGACGCAGAGCAGAGGUAGUGAACAGUCAGGAUGAGCCUGUAGGUGUGAAUAGGUUUAAAGUAAUUGUCCAAAUUACCAAUUGGCAAUAGCUGUCACAAUGAUCUUUCUUUCUUUGGUUUUCUGGUAACUGGCCAGUGAAGGCUCUUAAGGAAAACUGUCACAGUCACCUGAUGCUGCCAGUUCCUUUUAAGCUGAACUAAGUUUUAAGAAGAGAAAUCAUAAAAUUAAUAAUAGAAGAACUAAAAUGUUAGCCUAUCAACAUUUAAGACUAUCAGCUAAGAGAUAACCUACUUUUAGUCUUUCUUGGCUAUAAGAACUAUUAUAAAUUGUUUUUCAAAAGUUUAAUGUUUAAAAGUAAAUACAAAAGAUAAUUUUAAACUGAAAAGUACCCCACAGAACACUGAAUUCCUGUAGAAUGAUACGGCUUUGUUGUCCUGACUUAAUAAGGUAGUUCCCAAGUACAUAUAAGAAACAAAAAGCAAAUUAUCUAAUACUUUAGAAGGGAUUCAGAACCAAAAGUGAGAUUUACCUAGAAAUCCCGUUGCGUUCUUUAAAACCACAGUACAAAUCACUUUAUGGCCUGAGUCCACUAGCCUUUGUCUCAGUACUGAAGACAACGUGAUUUAACCUGGGAAUCCCAAGCGUUACUGAGUUUCUGCUCUGUUCCUUAAGUAUGUGAAGGAAGUCUAAGUGCAUUUCCCUCACCUCACGCACCACGAGCACUGCAAAGUCGAACUUUCCGUGUAUCACUGUGAACUGUUUUGUUUGAAUUUUAAUUUUGAUGCAUUUUCAUUUUAGAAUUUUAAAGAACAAUUUCGUGUCACAAUAUGCAAUCCGAUAUCUUUUCCGUGUUUAUGAAUAUUAAUAUAAGUUACUUUUUUCCUAGAAUGAUUUAUUGUGUAAUAAUU
This is an RNA transcript of Apodemus sylvaticus (European woodmouse), 6281 nucleotides long. It is a transcript of the gene named TSC22 domain family member 1, with no coding region annotated. NCBI's taxonomy places the organism in Eukaryota, Metazoa, Chordata, Mammalia, Rodentia, Muridae. The record is from RefSeq and is a predicted model, not a curated record. The transcript is spliced from 4 exons.